RNAcentral lists this long non-coding RNA (6365 nucleotides) under Sus scrofa (pig). RNAcentral's name for it is "lncRNA (ENSSSCG00000053419.1)". The record is from RNAcentral. Lineage: Eukaryota; Metazoa; Chordata; Mammalia; Artiodactyla; Suidae.
AUUUCCCUUCUUUUGUUUUCUGAAGGAAUUUUUCUAGACCGUUUUCCAUUAGUUAUAGAUCAUCGAAAGAGGUGUGUUAAGAGUCUGGGGUUACCACCUUUUCCUCUAGCCACAGACUUUCUUUUCACCAGAUGGCUUAUCACUUCCUCUAACCCUGACAUUAUCCUUGGUUCUCUGACUAGAGAAGGCACGCAUUUGCCAGACAUGGGAUCUGUAGAACCUUUGACAGACUUUAAGCAGGAACUUUGCACAACUUCACGUUUCUCCUAGGUUUGUUAGUGAUGCUCCUGCUAACUAGGUCUAAAUGGCAAUACACAUCUCUCUAUUCAUUAUAGAAGUUGAUUAGCGUCUGUAAUUGUUUCCAGGGUAUUUCUAGACUAUAUAAAUGAGCCCACAAAAAGGAAGUGUUUAUGGAAGUAGAUGAAGAGGAAUGAGGGUAACUUGGAAAUUAGCUUCCCCUUUUUGUCAAUGUUCUGUUAUUACAGUAUCUAUAUCCAGAAAAUUCCCCAAAGACUGGAUGACUGCAAUGCAGCUCAUCUGAGCGCCCUUCUUAUUGGAGUUAAAGGUUCCCACCUGGUGUCUGUGGGUGCUUGCUUAUAUCUCCAGUGGUCCCUUGACUGCACUUUUUCCCCCUUGCAAGCUGGGGGCUGAGAGAGAGCUUACAGGUAAUUUUUGUUCUGCUUGCUCUGCUUGUGUCCACAAGGGAGCUUGGAUUCUGUGUAUUUGUUUCUUCACAGUGCUGGGAAAGGCAGUGAUAUGGACACAAUGUGUAUUUUUGUUUGUGAUCAUCCAAGUGGGAGACAGGCAUAUUAAUAUUAAAAAGCCAGAAACGUUUUAGUCCCCUUGUUAAUUUUUCUUCUGUUCCUUCUGUCUUCCCAUUUUAUUUCACAAAGUAUUUACUUACUACCCUUCCCCUUCCUAAAGUCCCUCCAAAAUCAGUGAACUGCAAGCAGGGAAACUAACAAAUGUCCAUCCACCUUUUUUAUGUGUGGUAUUUUUUUAUGUUGUUGUAUUUUGUUUGGUUGUUUUUUUGUUAUUGUUUUUUUUUUUUUUUUUGACUAAGCUUGAACCAAAGUCAAAUUUUAGCAAGCUGCUGUACUAAUGGACUAGUUUGUAUCGUGCAGUUCAGACACAUUGAGGAGAUAGAUGCUACUGACAAUUUCUUUUUUCAUUUGUCUUUUAUUAAUUUUAUAUAAAAGUUGCUGCUUGUUUUAAUCUUUUAUGUUGGUAAAUUGUAAUAUCCUCUGGGCAGACAUUAACUUGAUUUUUUAACUAGUUUAUUUAGUUUGAUGUGUAAAUAGGAUGGCAGUGUCAGUUACUAAUUUUUCUCCUCUUCAACCCACUAUUUCUCUGAUAUAGUUGACUUUAAUCUUUUAUCCUGAUUUGACAUCUCUAAUUUUAGUCUGCGCAAAUGAUUUUAGAGGUUUCAGUAAUACUGUAGCUGCCCAUAGUGGUGAGUCCCUCCCCUGGGAGAGGUAAUUUAGGAGGAAGGAUUCAGGGAGGGAAAUGCUGAUACCCACCAUACUGUAGUAGAGGUUAUAGCAUUAAUUUCCCAAAAUUGCUACCAAAGGAAGUGUUGAGCCCCAAGGGACUCAAGCCCCAGUGGAUUAAGAGGAAGAACAAGGAAAGGCUGAGUUUGUUUGUUUGUUUUCCUAUGUGGUUGAAAAGAUGCUUCCUCUCCCAAAUAAGAUUCUCCAACAUACUUUAAUAUUUUUAAAAACUUACUAAGCUUUAAAUGUCAGUACGAUGGUCUCUUCCCCACCCUGUCUAUAUUCACUAGUCAGUUUGGGAUAAGGGGAUUCUGCCUUUGUGUGUGUAUGUGGAUCACUUUAUGAGGAUAAACUUUAAACCAGCAUAAAAACCUGUGUUUAAAAGAAGAAAUAAAUCCUUAGACAAAGGUAACUUCUAGAAUUUUUCUUUUUUUUUUAAUCUUAUUUAAAAACAAGUUGUGAGAUGAAAGAUACAUUUAUACAUGUACACACAAAACACUAAAACAGCUUGUUCAUGGGUGUUUUAACUUAAAAUCAACUCCCCCAUCGUCAUCCCUAGAUAUUCUGCUGAUUGUAUUGCUUCAUGACUCAACCUUUAGUCCUUUUUUACUUUAUAUCAUCUUUUUUAUCAUCUCAAGAUAUGCUUUUUGAAUCAAAUGAAUCUCGUAAGCUAAGGUACUCAGACCUAACUUUUAGCCUCCUUAUGUGGGAGAGUCUGGAAAUUAAGGGGACCAUUUGACCAAAAAGAAGUGUUUGGUAGAGUGUCUGCCAUUUCUAAGAGGAGGGGCCAGAUAGGUCAUCACAGUUCAUUGUGUCAUCCUUCUUUUUUUCUUCUUAAUGUUUAUGCAAGUUUCAUUUCAUCCCUGAAUUUGGUUAACAUACAUUAAGCCAAAGACUAACUCUUAAUGCAUUUAUAGUGAUACUAUAUUUGCCCAUGGCAGUGGGCCCUCCCUAGGGAGUGGUGAAUGUAAUUGUUUGAAUCCUGCUUAUCACAAGCAGUGUGAUUUGAUCGUGAACUUUAUUUUGUACCCUGUAUAAAUCUGAAGGACAGAACAGAAAGACCUGGAAAAGAGCUUCUCAGAGGAAUGAUAUUGUUGCUUCCCAUUUAAGAAAUAAGUUGAGUGCUAUGUUGAGUGUUAAGUGGUUCUGAAGUUAUCUAGGCAGCUUUUUAGAAUUAAAAAAUUGUUCCUGUCCAUUCACUACCUGAUAUAAAGUGAACUUUUAUUUAUUUGAUAAGAAGGAUCAAUACCUUCCCUGUGUACUCAGCUGAUACUAGAGAAAUGGAACCAAAGGAAUCCAACUUUCAUUUUGUGUAGGACCAUAAUGAUUUAUACUCCUUAGUAGCAUUAUGAGAAAUUAACGUGGUUUUUUACAAAGGAAAGAUUAGUUAAAAGAUUUUUAGUGAAACUAUCUUGCCAGUUUGUUCGACACCAUUCACUAUUGAGAAAAAAAGCACAAUUAUACCUUUUUUUUUUACGUUAUUUUGUUCUGUUAUCCCUCAUUUAUUUGGGAAGGUGGGGGAAAACCUUGUCUGUUAUCCAAAAGCACAGAUACUUGCUUGACACAGUAUUUAAAUUCAGUCCCAUCUUUAACAUUAAAUUUCCUAUUUAAAUUGCUGGGAAAGCUGGAUACCUUUGCAAAUGUAGGAAAUUAAUGUAGAUUUUUAAAGUUGUAAAUCCCAAUAGUAAACAUUGAAAUUAGUGUAUAAUUAAAAAAAAAAAAAAAACUUGGCUUACAGAGGAAACUCUUUGUAGUUCAUAAAGUUGUGCCCAAACCUCACAAAACUUUCUUUACCAAGAAGGUAAAAUCACUGAGACAGGAAGAAAAGAGAGCGAGUGGACAGGGAGCAGGGAGCAGCCCUGAGCGUCAGGGCUGGCCAGGGGAGGAGGCAGUGGCAGUCUUCUGUGGCCUUAGACCCCACAGGGGCCCUCCAAGAACCAUCCUGCGAUUAGAGAACCCUCCAUUAAAGAGCCUCAAAAAUUCAUUAUGAGAGUUGGUCAAAUAGUUUCUUGUUAAAUCAGCAUCUGAAAUUGAUGAAUUUAAAGUUUAUUCAUUCAAACCAUGUUUAUUGAAGCUGAAGAUAUCAAAAAGACCAUCAGUACUAAUAGAGAAAAAGACUGAAAAGCCUAAAAUUUAAAAUAACUCAGAUGGGCAAGAAUUGACGGAUUCAUUUGAUCAUAGCCAUUUGUGAGUUCAUUUUUGUAUGUGUGUAUGAAAAGCAUUUAAUUUAAUAAUAGCCGUAGCCAUUUUGAAGUCAUUUUCAGUCUUAAAACACUUUGAGGAUGACUGUUUAUAAAAGGGCAAAAUCUUCUCAGCGUUUAACUUCAGUUUUCAGAAGGAAAAAAGUCCUUCUCUGCUAUUCCUUUAAGAAGAAUAACUAACAUCAGCUAUUAUGUAGGUCUGCAUAGAUGGCGCACACUGUGAACUUGGAUAGAAAUAGGAUAAAUUGCUUUCACUGUUAAAGGCUGGUACUAAUCCUGUUCUGCCUCAUUCUUUUUUUAAUCCAAAGAGAUUAAAUGGGACGUCCCUGAAAUUUUCAGUAAGGUAUUUGAAAGGGUUCCAUCAGGAGAGCAGGGAAUAUGUCUUUUCUCAGAGUUGUCCAUUUUACACCCAGAUUUCUACAUGAUUUGUGAACUGUUGCCUACUGACCAUCCUUAUUCUUGAAGCAGUCCCAUGUUCAGGCUCUUCUACUUUUACUGCCUUUGCUAAAAGCAGUAAACUUUGGUGGAUCUUAUGUUGAUCCUGUAAUCUGGAUCUCCUCUCCUCUGUUCCUUCUCUUCCUUUUCUCUUUGAAUGGUGAUACCUUAAUCCGUGAGGAUAAUGCUCGUGGGUAACAGCUAGCUUCUGGCACCUUCAUAAAAUACCUCAGCAUAGCUUAGCAUUGUUACAGAACUGGUUUUAAACUAAAAACCAAAUAAAGAGAAAAACUUUAUAAAUAGUGGAAAUAAUUAUAGCUGUAGCAUUUAGUUCAACUGAUGUUUAUUAUGAUCGAUAAACAUGAUUGAUGUUGUAUGUAUUUGGAAUCCUGUUUAUAGGUUACAGUUUAUAGGGUUGGGGGGGGAGAAAGUGAUUAUGUUAGAAGGAAAACGUUGCAUUGCUCGUGUGUGUGUGUGUGUGUGUGUGUGUGUGUGUGUGUGUGUCCUUAUCUCUGUCUUGCCAAAGGAAACUUGAUCAUCCCUGUGAUUAGGUUGGGAUUUGUUGGCUUCUCUGUGGUUUGGCCCGCAGUGCAGGGUGUGGUGGCAUGCAGGUUACACAUGGGUUGACCAGCUCAGGGUCCCUGAGGGCAUUUACAUCCCUUCCUGUGGCUGCCUGGGGCCCCCCCAGACUCUGCCAGCCUCUCCUGAUGAUUCAUUACCUCUGUAUGUAGCAAGAGCUUAGGCCAAGGAUGAAUGUGUGAAGUCUGGGUGUGUAGUUGAGAAAUAGAGGCAGAAGUAGACAGGCACCGUUUUAUUUGGAAAGGAAAGGAGAAAUGAGUGAUUGAUGCAUCUUAGUCUAAGAAAAUUAAAGUAAAUUAGAUUGGGGGGGCGGGAGGGGUUCCUUCUGUCAUGUUAUGAAUGUUGUGCUAGUAGCACAACAGUUUAAAACCUCACUUCCUUUUCUCAUACCAAGGCCAGUUCUGUCUAGACCAAAAACGCAAACAGAAGAAAAACCAGACCAAGAUGUUGAAAGCCAACCUGCUCACUUAACACCUAUGAUACCAUGUGACCUUUAGGGAUUGGUUAGUUAGUGAGGUUGGGGAGAAUAUUGUUCUUGGUGGAUAUGUGAAUGAGAAAUGAUGCUGGUUUAGGAACAGUUAAGAGCCCUUUCUGGCCAUACUCUAGGGCAAAUUUUUUUGGCUUCCCGAGUUCAAAUAUAGAUUCUGUCUCCAAAAAGGCUAUUUUUUAAUAAGUGAUCCAUCUCACAGAACCUAAGUGGGAUUCAGUUUGGAUACCAAAGACACUGCAUUCUUGAUCCUUACAAUUUCAAAGCAGGCAGAGGGGAUAGGAGCAAAAAGCUGAAAUUUAGAAAAGCUUUACCUUUAUCUCUUCCCUUUUCUUCUCUCUCUUCUUCCCCACACCCCAUACCCACUUUUUGAAGAAAGUCUUGGUAGUCAUCCUGGCUUUGGAAAAGAGAUUUGUUUAGUUUCACUCUGCUGGCUCUGCAAAGAUGGAUAGAGCUGCUCAGGUGGCAGUGAUACUCUUGGAAUUGCUGGGAAAUUUAGGGAGGGAGGUGGUGGAAGAUGGGGGUAGAAUUCUUGUCUAACUUCCCUUUAUCUAACGCUUAUAAAGAGAGCUAGUACAGCCUAUUUGAGUUUAGAUGAUACUUAGUUGUUUUGUCACUUGUAAAGGAUAAGCAUUUUCAAGAACAGGAUUACACAGAAACUCAAAGACCCUCCUUUAUUCUUCCAUGGAGCUGUGUUAUUCCAAAAUGUUUUUACAUCCGGGCCCUAGGGAGUUGAGUAGUUCAUUGUUUCGGUGUGCCAUUGAUGGGACACAGGGGGAGUGGGGAGAAAUGUAUAGCUCUCCAUAUUCAUUCCAUCAAGAACUGGUCAGGUUGCAGAACUUCACGAAGGCUUUACUAAUAAUCUUAUUGUUCUGACAUUAUAUAAAAGUAGUAUUAAGAGUGUGUGACUUUUCCAAGUGCUAAAUAGAUCAGGAAGCAGGCAGCAGGGCUAUUGAAGGUAAGAGCACUUGAAACAGCAGUUGUGGGAGGACAAGGUAUGUGUGAUGGAACACCACUGUGCCCAGGAAUAAAGCUCCCAGGCUGGGCCAGGCAGGUGCCCUUGAAGAUUCUUUCUGUGCCCCUGAAUCAGCCCACUCCACUCAGGGCUGCACCACCUUCUGGUUCAAACCCAGGCAGGACACUAUCAGAAAAUUCAGGCCCCCAAACUAAUUU